UAGAGUUUGAUCAUGGCUCAGAUUGAACGCUGGCGGCAUGCUUUACACAUGCAAGUCGAACGGCAGCGGGGGCUUCGGCCUGCCGGCGAGUGGCGAACGGGUGAGUAAUGCAUCGGAACGUGCCCAUGUCGUGGGGGAUAACUACGCGAAAGCGUAGCUAAUACCGCAUACGCCCUGAGGGGGAAAGCGGGGGAUUCUUCGGAACCUCGCGCGAUUGGAGCGGCCGAUGUCAGAUUAGCUAGUUGGUGAGGUAAAGGCUCACCAAGGCGACGAUCUGUAGCGGGUCUGAGAGGAUGAUCCGCCACACUGGGACUGAGACACGGCCCAGACUCCUACGGGAGGCAGCAGUGGGGAAUUUUGGACAAUGGGCGCAAGCCUGAUCCAGCCAUGCCGCGUGAGUGAAGAAGGCCUUCGGGUUGUAAAGCUCUUUCGGCCGGGAAGAAAUCUGCGACUCUAACAUAGUCGCUGGAGGACGGUACCGGACUAAGAAGCACCGGCUAACUACGUGCCAGCAGCCGCGGUAAUACGUAGGGUGCGAGCGUUAAUCGGAAUUACUGGGCGUAAAGCGUGCGCAGGCGGUUUUGUAAGACAGAUGUGAAAUCCCCGGGCUUAACCUGGGAACUGCGUUUGUGACUGCAAGCCUAGAGUACGGCAGAGGGGGGUGAAUUCCUGGUGUAGCAGUGAAUGCGUAGAUAUCAGAGGACACCGAUGGCGAAGCAGCCCCUGGGCCUGUACUGACGCUCAUGCACGAAAGCGUG
Molecule: ribosomal RNA, 758 nt
Filed under: uncultured anaerobic bacterium
Lineage: Bacteria
Description: bacterial SSU rRNA
Rfam family: Bacterial small subunit ribosomal RNA
Source: RNAcentral